RNAcentral lists this long non-coding RNA (452 nucleotides) under Mytilus galloprovincialis (Mediterranean mussel). Lineage: Eukaryota; Metazoa; Mollusca; Bivalvia; Mytilida; Mytilidae. The record is from RNAcentral.
GUAGAACAAACUUCAGUCUCUAAAUGCAUAAAAGGUUUCAUUACGGGAAAAUGCAGUUCUGAAGCAGUAAACUUCAUCAAUUCUCCUCCAGGCAGUGAAACUUGCUCAGCAACCAAUAUGAUUGGACAAAUAACUACCGUUAUUGGUGUAUUCGUUUUGAAAAUUAUUAUCACAUAAUAUUACAAAUAUGAAAAAAGAAAUCUCGUCGCUAUACUAAAAUUUAUGCGUGACUAUCUUUAUCUAGCUUCAAUAAAAUCCAAAUAAGGUCAUACUUUAAAUUUGCUACUGAAUUAAUUAAUGUACUUCUCCAGUACAAUUUUGUGAUUAAAUGUCGGUUUUCAGAAUCAACACCUAUCUUAUUCUUCACUCGUUCUCAAAUAUAAGUAAGUUUUGCAAAAACGUACAAACGACACUGUAAAACAUUAGAUACUAUAAACUAAUAUAUCUAAAAC